UAUUAUUCUAGAAUUAUUUUUUUCCUAGGUUAGUAAUAGGUAUUUACUUAAAAGCUAAAAAAUUUGGCGGUAACUUAAUCUUUUCAGAGGAACUUGUUUUUUAAUUGAUAAACCUCGAAGUAUCUUACUUAUUUAAAUAACUAGUUUGUAUACCGUCAUUAUCAGGUAAUUUUUAAAGAAUAAAUUACUAAAAAUAAAGAAUUAUAAAAAUUAGAUCAAGGUGCAGCUAAUAAAUAAGUUAAAAUGAGUUACAAUAAAAUAUUUUAUAGGAUAAAUAGAAGAAUUUUUAUUUUGAAAUAGGAUUUGGUUGUAUUUUAAGUUUAAUAAGCUUAAAAGAUGUUAGUUCUAAGUUAUGUACAUAU
RNAcentral lists this ribosomal RNA (362 nucleotides) under Zaops ostreum. RNAcentral describes it as "partial 12S ribosomal RNA". Lineage: Eukaryota; Metazoa; Arthropoda; Malacostraca; Decapoda; Pinnotheridae. The record is from RNAcentral.